AAAAAAAAAAAAAAAAAGUUGAGAAGGCUAAAAUUAGCUCUGGAAAAGUAGGUGGUUGGGCUGGCUCAGGAUUAGCCACCACUAAGAGUAGAAAAGCUCACCUUCCCCUACCUAUACUGUAGUAUCCACCCAUGGCUUAUCCUCCACUUGGAAUUAUCUCUGAGUACUGAGUCCAAAGAGAGACAAUGGAAGACUUAAGCAGCCUUCAAAACCCUGAGUUAUACUGACAAAUUUCUCUAGAAAGGGAAUAUCAAAAACUAUGGGGAAUUCAUAAACUGGUAUUAUCAGGUGAAAGGAAAGGGAAAGGAAGGGGAAGGGGGAAAGAAACCAAAGAAACAGGGAGAAAGGGAGGAAGGGAGGGAAGAAGGAAGGGAGGGAGGAAGGAAGGGAGGAGGGAAGGAAGGAAGGAAGGAAGGAAGGAAGGAAAAAACUUCUCUGCUGGCUUCCUAAGCAGUUCAGCUAUGAAGGUAUGUUUUGCAGCAGCAACAGCACACCUGCUCAGACCACUGCAGCAAAGGCUUUCAACAAUUCUUGGGAAACUCGGUGGGGCAAAGGUGCAUGGUAGUUCCGGGACAUCCCACACUAGGAUUUGUCUCAUGGAGGUAACUCAGGGAGGAAGAAAUGAGCAGUUCAUUCUGCAUUAAUAGUUUACAUAUGUGAACUACUAAACUUUUAAAAAAAAAAGUUUAACAGCAGGAGUGGCAGAAACUAGGUUUAUUCUUUUUUUUUUUUUUCCUUUUUUUUUUUUGAGACAGAGUUUCACUCUUGUUGCCCUGGCUGGAGUACAAUGGCGGGAUCUUGGCUCAUUGCAACCUCCACCUCCCAGGUUCAAGUGAUUCUCCUGCCUCAGCCUCCCAGGUAGCUGGGAUUACAGGCAUGCACUACCACACCCGGCUAAUUUUGUAUUUUUAGUAGAGACGGGGUUUCACCAUGUAGGUCAGGCUGGUGUCAAACUCUCGACCUCAGGUGAUCCACCCACCUCGGCCUCCCAAAGUGCUGGGAUUACAGGCUUGAGCCACCUUGCCCGGCCGUUUAUUGUUUUAUCACUUAAUUUGUUUCCUAACAGAGGGAACUGGGCCUCUGCAUCCUCCAAAGAGCAAAAAAAGACAAAAAGACAAAUGCAACACUGCUCCCAGGGGUAACACCUCCAAUGAGUUGGCUUUUUUGGGGCAUGGAGGACGAGAUCUCUUCUGAUGUUUUAAAGAAAACCUUGGGUUUUACAUGGCUAGUACAAAGCUGGAGAAGGGGUACUCGGAGGAGGAAAGACGGGUGGGAGAGAAGAGAGACUGCCCAGAAGCGCCUCUCAUCACAUUCAACCAACAAAACAAGUAUUUUUUAGAAAAGGUUUCAGCAGCAUUGGAAUAACCAUCUGUUAUUUUAAAUUUCAACUGUAUAUGUGAAUG
RNAcentral lists this long non-coding RNA (1403 nucleotides) under Homo sapiens (human). Its description in RNAcentral is "HSALNT0004905". The record is from RNAcentral. Lineage: Eukaryota; Metazoa; Chordata; Mammalia; Primates; Hominidae.